This 1150-nucleotide long non-coding RNA is filed under the name Salvator merianae (Argentine black and white tegu). RNAcentral describes it as "lncRNA (ENSSMRG00000006265.1)". The record is from RNAcentral. Lineage: Eukaryota; Metazoa; Chordata; Lepidosauria; Squamata; Teiidae.
ACCAGAUGCUGGAGCAGUAGAGAUGAAAGCGGGCGCUUUCUUGCCCCCUGAGAAGAGGCCUUCUUUCCUCACAAGGGCAGCCNUUGACCUUUUGGAAAACAACGUCCGGCAGAAAAAGCUCCGGCACGCGUGGGGACUGCCGUCUACCGUGCUAAAGUCCGUGGCUGCUUUUGCUCCGCUUCUCCUUGGUCCAAAGAAGAGGGCAGNGCAGGGCACAACUGCAGUAGACCCAGCUGGCACAGCAGAAGUGCAGACCGUCAGCCGGAGUCUUGGGUUCCUGGAUCCGGAAACAAAAGGGCAGCUGGAAACCCACGUAAGAGGAUUGGCUGCAAAGCACAGAUGGCAAAUCCCCAAACAGGCUCUGAUAUCGCUGAAGGGAUUUGGGGUUCCCAAACCCCGCUCUUAUCCGGAACCACCUCAGGCAGGGAGUCCCUUGCCAGCUCUGAGCGAAGCGCUGCAGGUUCAGGAGUCACAGAGGGUAAAGAAAGCCAAGGAGGGAUGGGAAGGAUAUGGAGAAUAUGGAGAAGACGAAGGGCCUUCCAGCCAUUUCCCCAACCACCCAGGCGAGACCAACACAGGAAAAGAACUCACCUCAGAGUGUCCAUAUAUGGUCCAUGAAAGAGACCAAGGGGACAUGGAGGUUUCCUGGCAGGCAGUUAAAAGGUCCGCCUUCUGUUCUCACCUCCAGAUCCAGAAUUUUUCAGCUGUCCAGGAGACGGCGGGCAGCUUGGAGCCUCAGACUGAAGCUGCCGAUAAGAAGAUGCACUCGACGAAGCUCUCCAAAGCAGGACGGGAGGAAAAAGCGUGCAAGGUAGUCAACUGUCCCUGCAUAUGUCACGUGUCAACAUCCCAGGCAGACCUGGUUACCUCGUUUGCCCUGGGAUCGGGACACCAACCCCAGCAGCAAUGGGAAGCCCGAAGAAAGACCCGGAGAUACAAGGUGAGCUCUUCCUUUCUGCCACCUAAGGAUAAGAGACCACAGAGUUCUGGCUCGUCUUCAGGGGAAAGCAAGAGGAAGGCUUCUCCCUGGAGUCAGGAUGCCAGCCCAGAAGAACCAGAGCCCUUGGAUCCAGAGGCUGCUCUGCAGGGUGAAUCAUCCCCUUCCCACCUGGCCUCGGGUUUCUUCCUCCAGGCGUCUUCUAUCUCCGAG